Molecule: unclassified non-coding RNA, 350 nt
Filed under: Hevea brasiliensis (rubber tree)
Lineage: Eukaryota; Viridiplantae; Streptophyta; Magnoliopsida; Malpighiales; Euphorbiaceae
Source: RNAcentral
UGUGUGUGUGUGUGUGUGUGUAGUGUUUCAAGAAUGAACAAGAAAUAAUGUGCAUGGGAAGGUCUGAAAAACACUCAUUCAUUGCAUAGUUCAUAAGUGGAGAGUUUUCUUUGACCAGAUAUUUUUAAUGAAAAGAUACAAAGCAGAACAAAAUCUGUCAUUGCAAUUUGCUAGAGACAAAAAAAAAUGCACAACAUAUACGUGGGAAUGAAAGUUUAAAUUGCCCUUGCACAGAGUUGAAUAACUGAAAUAAAAAUGCAUGAUUCCACAGCACAAAAAUUCCAAUGUUCCUGAGCAGAACAAUAAAAAAUAAAGACAGGAAUUCCCAUAAGAAGGGAGGGAGGAGAGAG